GAUGAACGCUGGCGGCGUGCCUAAUACAUGCAAGUCGAGCGAACGGACGAGAAGCUUGCUUCUCUGAUGUUAGCGGCGGACGGGUGAGUAACACGUGGAUAACCUACCUAUAAGACUGGGAUAACUUCGGGAAACCGGAGCUAAUACCGGAUAAUAUUUUGAACCGCAUGGUUCAAAAGUGAAAGACGGUCUUGCUGUCACUUAUAGAUGGAUCCGCGCCGCAUUAGCUAGUUGGUAAGGUAACGGCUUACCAAGGCAACGAUGCAUAGCCGACCUGAGAGGGUGAUCGGCCACACUGGAACUGAGACACGGUCCAGACUCCUACGGGAGGCAGGAGUAGGGAAUCUUCCGCAAUGGGCGAAAGCCUGACGGAGCAACGCCGCGUGAGUGAUGAAGGUCUUCGGAUCGUAAAACUCUGUUAUUAGGGAAGAACAUAUGUGUAAGUAACUGUGCACAUCUUGACGGUACCUAAUCAGAAAGCCACGGCUAACUACGUG
RNAcentral lists this ribosomal RNA (497 nucleotides) under uncultured bacterium. RNAcentral describes it as "partial 16S ribosomal RNA". It matches the Rfam family "Bacterial small subunit ribosomal RNA", at positions 28 to 507 of the family's 1533-position model. The record is from RNAcentral.